RNAcentral lists this ribosomal RNA (466 nucleotides) under uncultured bacterium. RNAcentral describes it as "bacterial SSU rRNA". It matches the Rfam family "Bacterial small subunit ribosomal RNA", at positions 31 to 507 of the family's 1533-position model. The record is from RNAcentral.
GAACGCUGGCGGCGUGCCUAAUACAUGCAAGUCGAACGAGGUGCUUUUGUAGCAAUACGAAAGUAUCCUAGUGGCGAACGGGUGAGUAACGCGUUGGUGACCUACCCCAAAGUGUGGGAUAACAGUUCGAAAGAACUGCUAAUACCGCAUGUGGUUAUCGGAUUUAGAAACUGAUAACUAAAGGAGCAAUUCGCUUUGGGAGGGACCUGCGUCCCAUCAGCUAGUUGGUGAGGUAAUGGCUCACCAAGGCUACGACGGGUAGGGGACCUGAGAGGGUGACCCCCCACAAUGGAACUGAAACACGGUCCAUACACCUACGGGUGGCAGCAGUAGGGAAUAUUGCACAAUGGGCGAAAGCCUGAUGCAGCAACGCCGCGUGUGCGAUGAAGGCCCUCGGGUCGUAAAGCACUUUUCUGAGAGAUGAGCAAGGACAGUAUCUCAGGAAUAAGUCUCGGCUAACUACGUG